This 515-nucleotide unclassified non-coding RNA is filed under the name Tetraria pleosticha. RNAcentral describes it as "partial external transcribed spacer 1". Lineage: Eukaryota; Viridiplantae; Streptophyta; Magnoliopsida; Poales; Cyperaceae. The record is from RNAcentral.
GUGCUUCGGCGCGGCUAACCGUCAUGGCGUUGUCUUUUCAUUGUGCCUCCCGUUGUGCCCGCGCGGCGCGGGAGGAACGCUCGUUUUUUGGUCGUCUGUGUGGUUCUACCCUUGUGCGGUACGAGACUCGGAUCCAUGAUGGAUAUUUGCUUGCCCCGUUGAUGUUCGUUAUCAUCGGUGCAGCCGAGUUGCGGGCUUAAUUCAUGUGCUGYAGUGGGCGAAGGCCUCGGCACUGCACUUGGAUUUUGCCAGCUCUCACGGAUGCCGUGUCCUUCGAGGAACUCGCGGGCCUCCGGUCCCCCGGUUCCCACGGGAAGUCCCUUGCACUGGAUCAUUGCUCCGCCGCUCCGCUAUCUUGUUGCGGGUGUUGGGAUGUCGGCGCGGUGCGAGCGGGGCGUGCUCCUGUGCAAGUGAGAUGUUUGUCCGAUCGAAUGAGCGAUUGUCGUGCCUCGUUCCUCAGCGUCGUGGCGGCACUCGUUUAGGACGUGCUACCUGGUUGAUCCUGCCAGUAGUCA